This is a non-coding RNA of Phrynosoma platyrhinos (Desert horned lizard), 71 nucleotides long. Lineage: Eukaryota; Metazoa; Chordata; Lepidosauria; Squamata; Phrynosomatidae. The record is from the annotation of a GenBank genome assembly.
CCCAAGAUGGUGCAGUGGCUUGAGUGUUGGACUACGGCACUGGAGACCUGGGUUCGAUUCCCGGCUUGGCC